GUUGAUCCAUGAUAUAUAAUUAUAUAUAAACAUAUGUUAUGCAUUGUGAAGAAAAUGGAGGCCUUACGACGUGGUAGCUUUCAAAGGCCAUGAGUUGAACCAAGAAAUUUCCAGCCACUCCAACAUUAGUGGAUUAUUUUUAAUUAAUACUAGAACUUUGGAAGUUACAAUGUUUCACCAGAUGUCAAGACAAGUCUUGGAGGUCC
Molecule: long non-coding RNA, 206 nt
Filed under: Prunus persica (peach)
Lineage: Eukaryota; Viridiplantae; Streptophyta; Magnoliopsida; Rosales; Rosaceae
Description: long non-coding RNA (PPER_LNC006865)
Source: RNAcentral